Molecule: ribosomal RNA, 253 nt
Filed under: uncultured bacterium
Lineage: Bacteria
Description: partial 16S ribosomal RNA
Rfam family: Bacterial small subunit ribosomal RNA
Source: RNAcentral
UACGUAGGGGGCAAGCGUUGUCGGGAUUUAUUGGGUUUAAAGGGUGCGUAGGCGGCCCGUUAAGUCAGUGGUGAAAACCAGCAGCUCAACUGUUGAUGUGCCAAUGAUACUGGCGGGCUAGAGUACAGACGAGUUAGUCGGAAUUGACAGUGUAGCGGUGAAAUGCAUAGAUAUUGUCAAGAACACCGAUAACGACGGCAGCUUGCUAACCUGUAACUGACGCUGAGGCUCGAAAGUGUGGGGAUCAUACAGG